CGAGUGGCGGACGGGUGAGUAAUGUCUGGGAAACUGCCCGGUGGAGGGGGAUAACUACUGGAAACGGUAGCUAAUACCGCAUAACGUCGCAAGACCAAAGAGGGGGACCUUCGGGCCUCUUGCCACCGGAUGUGCCCAGAUGGGAUUAGCUUGUUGGUGAGGUAACGGCUCACCAAGGCGACGAUCCCCUAGCUGGUCUGAGAGGAUGACCAGCCACACUGGAACUGAGACACGGUCCAGACUCCUACGGAAGGCAGCAG
This 260-nucleotide ribosomal RNA is filed under the name uncultured bacterium. RNAcentral describes it as "partial 16S ribosomal RNA". It matches the Rfam family "Bacterial small subunit ribosomal RNA", at positions 92 to 354 of the family's 1533-position model. The record is from RNAcentral.